Molecule: ribosomal RNA, 717 nt
Filed under: uncultured marine bacterium
Lineage: Bacteria
Description: bacterial SSU rRNA
Rfam family: Bacterial small subunit ribosomal RNA
Source: RNAcentral
GCAAGUCGAGCGCGCCUUCGGGUGAGCGGCGGACGGGUUAGUAACGCGUGGGAACGUACCCUUUUCUACGGAAUAGCCUUUGGAAACGAAGAGUAAUACCGUAUACGCCCUUUGGGGGAAAGAUUUAUCGGAGAAGGAUCGGCCCGCGUUAGAUUAGAUAGUUGGUGGGGUAACGGCCUACCAAGUCUACGAUCUAUAGCUGGUUUUAGAGGAUGAUCAGCAACACUGGGACUGAGACACGGCCCAGACUCCUACGGGAGGCAGCAGUGGGGAAUCUUAGACAAUGGGCGCAAGCCUGAUCUAGCCAUGCCGCGUGAGUGAUGAAGGCCUUAGGGUCGUAAAGCUCUUUCGCCUGUGAUGAUAAUGACAGUAGCAGGUAAAGAAACCCCGGCUAACUCCGUGCCAGCAGCCGCGGUAAUACGGAGGGGGUUAGCGUUGUUCGGAAUUACUGGGCGUAAAGCGCACGUAGGCGGAUUGGAAAGUUGGGGGUGAAAUCCCGGGGCUCAACCCCGGAACUGCCUCCAAAACUAUCAGUCUAGAGUUCGAGAGAGGUGAGUGGAAUUCCAAGUGUAGAGGUGAAAUUCGUAGAUAUUUGGAGGAACACCAGUGGCGAAGGCGGCUCACUGGCUCGAUACUGACGCUGAGGUGCGAAAGUGUGGGGAGCAAACAGGAUUAGAUACCCUGGUAGUCCACACCGUAAACGAUGAAUGCCAGUCG